This 454-nucleotide ribosomal RNA is filed under the name uncultured Alphaproteobacteria bacterium. Its description in RNAcentral is "bacterial SSU rRNA". It matches the Rfam family "Bacterial small subunit ribosomal RNA", at positions 29 to 505 of the family's 1533-position model. Lineage: Bacteria; Pseudomonadati; Pseudomonadota; Alphaproteobacteria. The record is from RNAcentral.
AGCGAACGCUGGCGGCAGGCUUAACACAUGCAAGUCGAACGAGAAACCACCUUCGGGUGGCGGAAAGUGGCGAACGAGUGAGUAACGCGUGGGAAUUUGCCCCUGACUAAGGGAUAGCCACUGGAAACGGUGAUUAAUACCUUAUAAUCCCAACAACUUGGCGUUGUUGGGCAAAGAUUUAUCGGUCAGGGAGAAGCCCGCGUUAGAUUAGUUUGUUGGUAGGGUAAUGGCCUACCAAGACGAUGAUCUAUAGCUGGUCUGAGAGGAUGAUCAGCCACGCUGGGACUGAGACACGGCCCAGACUCCUACGGGAGGCAGCAGUGGGGAAUAUUGGACAAUGGGCGCAAGCCUGAUCCAGCCAUGCCGCGUGUGUGAUAAAGGCCUUAGGGUUGUAAAGCACUUUCGCGUAUGAAGAUAAUGACGGUAAUACGUAAAGAAGCACCGGCUAACUCCG